This is a non-coding RNA of Misgurnus anguillicaudatus (oriental weatherfish), 2621 nucleotides long. Lineage: Eukaryota; Metazoa; Chordata; Actinopteri; Cypriniformes; Cobitidae. The record is from RefSeq and is a predicted model, not a curated record.
UAGCAAUUUCCCUUGGGCCGGAUCCGCAUGAAAGCCUUUAGAUCCGUCUGUAGCGGACAUACGGUAUCUGACUGUGGGCCAGAUCUGCACCUGAUAAGAUUUCAGCUCUGCUAGCAAAGCUGUUUUUUCAUCGAUUUACAGAUUUGUCCCAGGUCCGUUUUCCGCAACUCAACCGGAAAUCAGGAGAUGCGUUUAAAAUACAAAACACUAAUUUGGCCCAAACCUGUGAUACGGAUAUGGGCAGAAGGAGCAGGUGGUAUAAAUUGAACAGAGAAGUCAACUAUCUGGCUGCUGUAGAAUAAAAGUAUUUUGAAAAAAUGGCACAAAUUUAGAAACAUAAGGGUGCACUAUGUGCCCAUGGCCACUUCAUUUCUACACUAAGGCUGGAAUUUAAGCUAUUGGCUCAGUAUAUGUGCCAGUUAGACUUUUCAGUGCUGUUUUUCUACAGUCAGCAGAUUUGGGCCAGAUCCACUUACCACAUCAGAACCAAAGCUUCCAGAAAGUCAGUCCACUGAUGUGGCCCACAUCUGUAAUAUUGACCCAAACCACCUCCAAACUUGUGUGUUCAACUCUGGUUUACUGAACAGAGCCGAACGCGCGAAGUGAGUGAGGUCCGUCCGUUUGAGAGACGUUAUGCUGAUCUGGCCCUCAUCCGUACCACGGAUUAUAGCCAGAAACCGUUGGAAUAGAGCAAAUGAAACUUUUGUGGGGGUGCCCAUUGCCAUAUUUCGUUAUUAAAUCCUGAUUUGUUAAAUCUUACAAUGGAACACUUGCACGUAGCCUACACAAAAAUGAUUAAUUCACUAACAAAGUAAUAGGCUUGUCUUAAAAUGGAAGAUUUACUACAUAACUAAAAAAAAUACAUUAGCAACUGUCCACUAUCCAAGUGCAAUGGUCCAAGCUGUAUUGCCAUCCUGGGAAGAAGAAAAAAUUGCGAACAUCGUGGGAAAAAACGGCACUGGCACACAUAAUGGAUGGCAACAUGGGUGCAUUUAUAGUCCAUCAUGACAUAAAAAAUCCUCGGCAUGCAACCACGAGGAGAGGGGGAAUUUACUAAGGAGUUUUGUCUAUAUAUUAUAUAAAAUCUACUGUUGGGCAAGUACAUUUUGUAUUAUUUGAUUAACGUGCUUAAGUUUUAAUUGUUUGACACAAAUGAACCAAAAUAAACAUUGCCAGAAUUGUCCACACUGAGUAUGGCUAAAAUUAGCUAAUAGGCUAAAAGGUACUUUGAACUUACACAUGUUAUACCAUAGUAUAAAGUAUGUUUAAUGGUACAGUCAAAGUUAUUACUUUAGCUUAUUUAUGUAGCCUUUGAGAAUUUCUUUCAGAAAUUAAAACAUCUGAAAGAGAAAAGUUAUUUGGCAUGAUGGAAUGAUUUGAUUGCCUACACAUUGCACAUGUAAAAUGUUAAAUACUGUUCUGUAUUAAAAGCUCAGCAUAAGUGUUUGAUUAACUUCCUUUGCUUUUGUUUUGUACAAAGGAAGAGCAGAACCUAAUCCAAAUAAAAAUAAACAAGCUGUUAAAAGCCAGUUGAAGGUGGUCAACACAAACCAAAUGAAGAUGUUGCACAUUCCACAAACAAUAAAAAAAGAAGAUCAAGUUUUGUGUCCAACACACUUGGAUGAGACGUGCCCGACCCCUGACUUUGUCUACCCUACAUUAAGUUGUGAUGGCACACUUCAUGACAGUAAACAUCGGUAUCAAGAUGGUGUGAUUCAUCUAUACCCUAGAAUAAGCUGUGACACUAUGAGACGGUGUCAUAAUGAACAGCCAUCUUCCAGACAACCGAAACAGGCAGAUAUUGUCUACAAUCCCAAAUUCUGGAUUGUCGCCCCAGUACCAGAAGGCACUCCAAUCCCAGAGAGCAUCCCAUUGUGAGGUAACACAACGAAAAAAUAACAGGAUGGAGACUGCCUGAUCCUUCAACUAUGGCCUUAGCUUCAAAUGCAAGAAGUCCAGCAACUGUCUGAGUUGGUGUAUAUUCUGUCAGAGACUGCGUGAACAAUGUUAUGAACAGAAUGAUGUCUAAUUGUCUUAUGGCAAAGUUCAAUAUGAGGGGUGGUGGACAUCUGGAAAAGAAGUCUUUUAAAGGCACACCUUUGUAUUAUGUUAUUCAAGAUGCUGUGAGGAGGUGGAGCCCAAAAGCCAUGGACUCGGAAAUCGAUGCAGCUAUGGCAGACCACCUCAAGCACGCUCCAGGAAGAGAGCUAGGGGUUGUGAAUACAAAAAAUAAGCCAAACAGAUGUAAUGUGUUAGAGAUAGUUCACACAAAAAUUAAAAUUGUUAUAAUUUCCUUACCCACGUGUUUCAAACCUGUAUACAUUUUUAUUUUCUGCUGAACACAAAGAUUGAAUAAUGUUUGUAACCAAGCAUUUCUCACAACCCAUUAACUGUCAUAAUAUUUUUUUUUACCAUUGUAGUAAUGGGUUGUGAGAUCUGCUUUUUUAAAAACAUUCUUUCAAAUAUCUUUGUGUUCCGCAGAACAUAGAAAGGUAUACAGGUUUGAAACAUGAGAGGGAGUAAAUGACUAAAUAUUCAUUUUUGGGUGAACUAUCCCUUUAUAUAAUAAAGUAUUUUGAAAUUGUUAUUAUAGUUAAAAAAAUAAAAGUCCUAAAUCAAAA